UACGUAGGGGGCUAGCGUUAUCCGGAAUUACUGGGCGUAAAGGGUGCGUAGGUGGUUUCUUAAGUCAGAGGUGAAAGGCUACGGCUCAACCGUAGUAAGCCUUUGAAACUGGGAAACUUGAGUGCAGGAGAGGAGAGUGGAAUUCCUAGUGUAGCGGUGAAAUGCGUAGAUAUUAGGAGGAACACCAGUUGCGAAGGUGGCUCUCUGGACUGUAACUGACACUGAGGCACGAAAGCGUGGGGAGCAAACAGG
RNAcentral lists this ribosomal RNA (252 nucleotides) under uncultured bacterium. Its description in RNAcentral is "partial 16S ribosomal RNA". It matches the Rfam family "Bacterial small subunit ribosomal RNA", at positions 524 to 776 of the family's 1533-position model. The record is from RNAcentral.